CAAUAAUCAGUUUAAUUCUUGCACGUUACAAACUAGAGAAAAUUCAGCAAGAAUGAUUUUCAAAGAGCACCAGAGUUGAAAAUCGCUGUAAUAUGAUAAUUCAACACUUCGAAAGUUUUCCAAGCGGUUCCCUCUAGCAGAGAAAUUUCUAUUUGGUGACUGGUGGCAAGUAUUAAAAGAAAGUUUGAGGAAUUAUGCAGAAAAUACAAGCAGAGAACGAGAACUGCAUGGUCUGCUUGUAAUUAUUUAGAAACAUAUUAGCCAAAAAUGCAUACCAAAUUCUCCAGCUAUCCCGAAACUUACAACUUAUAAGUUAUACCAUAUAGAAAGGACAUUGGAAAGGACCAUAUAGAAAGGAGAUUAGAAAUAUUAAAAUAUACAUUAAAAAAGAAUGAAGAGUCGAGAAAUCCGUAAAGCGUAACGACCGAAUACGAAAUGAAACAAAAAAGGACAAGCAAAAUCUACGUAAAUUAAAUGAAGUAAUUUCAUUGGAUUCGAAAUUCAAAAUACCAUCUGCAAUGUCAAAAUUUCGGAUUGACAGGUGGGAGGAGAAAUAGCGCUGAAUUCACUCAAUCCUACGCAAAAUUUUCCUAUAAAAAGGCAUGGAAGACUGCCAUUAAAGCAUAUUUCGGCGAUAAACAAACCGAAAGCAACAUGAAAACCAUCCUCUUUCUACUGGUUUUCGUUGGAAUUGCAAUCGUAGCAAACAGCGAAGCAUCUAAGAAAGAAGUAAAGAAAGAUGUUUCAUUUGAUAAAGGCAAGAAAGGGUCUGUCGACAAUGUGAGAGGUGAAAAAAAAUGUGAAGGACAAAUACAAUUUAAAAAAGGAUUCAAAUCGACUAAUUGGAAUACCUGUAAUGCCUCCAACUAACUCCAAUUUAGUCACACUUAUUGGGAUACUAAACAAUUUGAACUUGGACAUUUUUGGAUAUAUAAAUUGUACCUUCAACAAGCUUAUGAUAAAUUUGGACCAAUGCCAACUUGGUGACAUCGAUUUAAGAGGCGAUAUCCAAGACAGAUUUGGUCGCAAGGACAGAUGCGAUAAUUGUGGUACGGAUCCGAGUGACCCAUUGCAAUCGAUGAACGAGCUCUGUCCGGCACUUAAUAAUAUUACGAGUUACUUGGGUUGCAUCCUCGAACAGCUUCGUAACUUGGAUUGCUUGGAUUACAUUGACGGAUGUGUUAGGCAA
RNAcentral lists this long non-coding RNA (1189 nucleotides) under Centruroides sculpturatus (bark scorpion). RNAcentral describes it as "uncharacterized LOC111630951, transcript variant X2". The record is from RNAcentral. Lineage: Eukaryota; Metazoa; Arthropoda; Arachnida; Scorpiones; Buthidae.